UACGUAGGGGGCAAGCGUUGUCCGGAAUCAUUGGGCGUAAAGAGCGUGUAGGCGGCCAGAAAAGUCCGCUGUGAAAACUCGAGGCUCAACUUCGAGCUGUCGGUGGAAACUUUCUGGCUAGAGUCCGGAAGAGGAGAAUGGAAUUCCUGGUGUAGCGGUGAAAUGCGCAGAUAUCAGGAAGAACACCCGUGGCGAAGGCGGUUCUCUGGGCCGUAACUGACGCUGAGGAGCGAAAGCGUGGGGAGCGAACAGG
This 253-nucleotide ribosomal RNA is filed under the name uncultured bacterium. RNAcentral describes it as "partial 16S ribosomal RNA". It matches the Rfam family "Bacterial small subunit ribosomal RNA", at positions 524 to 776 of the family's 1533-position model. The record is from RNAcentral.